GACGAACGCUGGCGGCGUGCUUAACACAUGCAAGUCGAACGGAAAGGCCCUGCUCUUGUGGGGUGCUCGAGUGGCGAACGGGUGAGUAACACGUGAGUAACCUGCCCUUGACUUUGGGAUAACUUCAGGAAACUGGGGCUAAUACCGGAUAGGAGCUCCUGCUGCAUGGUGGGGGUUGGAAAGUUUCGGCGGUUGGGGAUGGACUCGCGGCUUAUCAGCUUGUUGGUGGGGUAGUGGCUUACCAAGGCUUUGACGGGUAGCCGGCCUGAGAGGGUGACCGGCCACAUUGGGACUGAGAUACGGCCCAGACUCCUACGGGAGGCAGCAGUGGGGAAUAUUGCACAAUGGGCGGAAGCCUGAUGCAGCGACGCCGCGUGCGGGAUGACGGCCUUCGAGUUGUAAACCGCUUUCGCCUGUGACGAAGCGUGAGUGACGGUAAUGGGUAAGGAAGCAACGGCUAACUACGUG
RNAcentral lists this ribosomal RNA (468 nucleotides) under uncultured bacterium. RNAcentral describes it as "partial 16S ribosomal RNA". It matches the Rfam family "Bacterial small subunit ribosomal RNA", at positions 28 to 507 of the family's 1533-position model. The record is from RNAcentral.